AAUAUAAAUGUAUUAGCAAACAAUCAUGUAUAUUUAUGCAAAGGCUGCAAAGAAUAAAAAUGUACAUGGCUUAUGACAGGAGUCUAUGCUAAAGACAAACGCGUUCUCUAAACAACAACACGUUUUCUAGGAUGACCUUAAAUUUUUGUAUGGUAAAAUUAAAUCAAGAGAUGGCGGAGCAGUCAGGGGUUGAUCGUUAAUUUAAAGAAGUACAAGUUUCUCUCUAUAUUCCUUCCUUGGUAUAACAUUCCAUUGUGACGUCACUAUUAAGCCAUUUGCCUGAGUGAGCCGUGAGGGAAGGACCCGUCGUGACUGGCUGUUACGUGGUGGUUAAAUUUUUAGUAUUUUUAUAUUAAGUUACUUAAACACAAGCUUAUGUCGCUCCUGUACUGUAUGUAUCAACUUCAUGUGAAUCACCAGACAACAGCAGACAACAGAGAGCAGCUGUGACCCUUGUACUGCUGUCACAAUCACCGCUCAGCGUCCUGAAGAGAAUGUGGUGCUGGGAGACCCAACAAGAACCUUCUUGCACGCUACAGUGGUACUGGCCUUGAAUUUAAAAUAUUUGUGUGGCUGACUGGACCCACAACGAGGUGUUGCCUGGAGAUUGUGUGGCUGUCUCGGGUGGACUGCUGGCUGGCUUACGUGGACGGCAGGCUGGCUCGCUCAGGUGGACGGCAGGCUGGCUGGCUCACUCGCGUGGACGGCCGACUGGCUGGCUCGCUCGCUCAGGUGGACGGCCGACUGGCUCUCUCAGGUGGACGGCCGACUGGCUCUCUCAGGUGAACGGCCGACUGACUGCUGGCUGGCUGAGGUGAACAUCUGGCAGGACAAGAACCCCACCAAACAGAUUUGUGUGGACCCACAACAAGGUGCUUCCUGGAGGUGGUAAAGGCAAAACGAACUUUCAUUCAACAAUUGGUGUGCUGUGUCCAGAUUGUCAACAAUCCCCACAGCCAGCAACACCUCCUCCUCUGCCGCUGCCUGGCGGCCCUCCCUCCUCCGC
Molecule: long non-coding RNA, 1006 nt
Organism: Homarus americanus (American lobster)
Lineage: Eukaryota; Metazoa; Arthropoda; Malacostraca; Decapoda; Nephropidae
Exons: 7
Source: RefSeq, a predicted model, not a curated record